GUGAUGGGUUCCUUUCCCCUGUGAUCAUCAAUGGAAGAAGAGAAGAAAUCACCACCUUUGGCAGCAAGCAACAUUUUACAGACCGAAUAAGACAUUGCGUGACUGUGCAAGUACAAGAACUAAGAGAAACUCAUAAGCACUUGGCAGAGAAGGUUCAAAGUGCACUAAAAGUGACAGACACUGGUUCCUGCAAAGAAAGGCCUGUGCUGUGAAAUACCUAACAGCUCAUCCAGAAUAAGAGUCAAAAUAAGGUUACCAUCUUUUGUCUAAUUUUUACCAAGAAUUUUGUGGAUUUAGUAUUCAGAAAAGGCUCUAUUGCACAGUUCUUCUCUGCUCUGCAUGAUCUCAGAUGAGGAAGCUCAACUGGGACUGGAGGAUGUCCUUCCAGGACAAUUUACCCAUGGGGUGAGUUUUCUUAAAAAAAAAAUCUAUUUCGACAGUCAGAGAUGAGCAAUGAAUGACCUUAUUGUACUGUGGCUGUUUGCCACGCUGAGUGGAAAGCUCCAGAGCCGCAAGACUGACAGGGGGUGAAAAUGCAUCUGAGAAGACAGAACCUUUUCCUAUCUUCAUCAUGUAUGUUUACAUAAUAAAAUCAUAUGCAUGAUUAUCAGA
Molecule: long non-coding RNA, 612 nt
Organism: Homo sapiens (human)
Lineage: Eukaryota; Metazoa; Chordata; Mammalia; Primates; Hominidae
Exons: 4
Source: RefSeq, a predicted model, not a curated record